CGGCCCCGGCCGCCGGGCGCACCCGUCCCGUGCGUCCCCGGACGUUGCUCUCUGCCCCGGGAACGUCGAGACUGGAGCGCCCGAGCUGAGCCACCUUCGCCGACCCCGAGCGCUGCAGCUCCACUCACCGCGGAGGCGCCUGGACGCGUAAAGUGCGUACUUUCAACCGCGAAUGAAUGUUGAGGCUUUUAGGGGUGCGGGGCGACUCCCCAACUCCACGGGGGCCCUGGUCGGCCCCGCCGCCGAGUCGGAGACCAUCCGGUUCCUCGCUUGCGCUCGGCGCGGGGCCGGCGACUUGGGCUCAAGGGCGGCGGGGCGGGGAAGUGCCUUGACCUAGGGUCCCCGAAGCCCGGAGCGAGCCCCGCUUCGCCUUGGCUCGCCUUGCCCUCCGGGGUGAGGUCUGGGCCCGGUCGCAAGCGAUUUGUACCCGGUCCCGGGGAGUCGAGCCUCCAGAUACGCCCUCGCGGUAGCGGGGACUUUUCUGGGGCGGCGGUGGCGGAGUCCGGGGCCACUGCUGCCACAGUCCCGUGCGCUGCGCGUCCCGGGGACCAGCCGCCUAACUUCUAUCCGGGACGGAGACGGCGCUCGCGCCCCGGGCGGAGGUGGGAGCUCGCUGGGCUGGGUAGGGAAGAGGGCGAAUCGUUCCCAGCGGCGGCAGCGGCGGCGGCGGCGGCGGCGGCGGCGGCGACGGCGACGACGAGGGAACAAGUCUGGAGAAGUCAACUGCAGGGCAAGGAGCCCCCACCCAGGACCCAGCGGGACCCCGCGGGCGCGAGGGCACACACCCCGCUUUGGGCGGAGGUACUUCUCUCCGGUUUUCGCGGCCCUGGCGGGAUCCUCGGCCGCGUAAGCUCCCCGAUGGACCCGUGGCUCCAGCAGUCAAGACCCAGAGUGGAAGGCGGGGUGCGCUCCAAUGUAGCCCCCUUUCUGUAUCUCCCGCCGGGGUGAUUUCUCCGCUGUCUGGAGCAGGGGUUUGGGGCUGCACAGCCCCAGGAGCUCUCUGCCUAGAGGAAAGCCAGCCUGGUCCUCACUGUCCCUCACCGCCCUGGGUAGGGGGCGUUCAGGUGGGUUAGGGAAUUCUCCCUGAGCCAAACCUGGCUGGGGCGGUGGGGGGGGUCCCAUUGGGCUGCACCCCUCUUCCCGCAGGGCACCCCUGAGCUAGCAAAUUGUUUCCUUCCUGUUUCUUGCUCCCCCUUUUGGGUGGUGUGUGUGGUGAGUGAAGCCUCCUGCUUGGCAAGUCUCCGAGGAGAUGGUUGGGGGUCUGGGUUGCGGCUCCCCGGCAGGGGCAAGGGGAGCCCCAACUUCUGUUGGAGAAACUUUCAAGCCCCGAUUCCUUGAUUUUGGGGGGCAGGGGAGGAUGCCAGUCUAGGACCUGUGCCCUGCCCCCACGCACACAGAAGCUGGGACAGGGCCAUGGGGCAGCCCUCCCCACCUUACCACGUUUAGUCUCAGAAAAUGAAAAAGCCACUUGGGGCCGGGGAGAGCCUUUCGUGCCCCGGGGAUCUGGUGGUGGUGCUGGUGGGUGUGUGGAAGCAGUAGUCUGGGGCACAAGCGAGACUGGUCCAAGCUGGCCUGCCCAGCCAGCAGCACCCAGCCCCCAUGCCCUCCAAUCCCAGGGAGGCUCGGGGGGAGCAGUGCUUGGCCUUCGGGCUGUUGCUGCUCCGGGGGUUCUGCUUGUUUCUUGGGCUGACAGGCUACACUCCAUCCCUCAGGAUUCCAGAACAUUGGACACGGUGCUCAGGCCCUUCUGGCUCCCACGGCCGCUUGUGCAGGGGAGGACAGACCCAAGAUCCAGGUGCUCCCUGGCCUUUGGAAGCCAGGCCCGGGCUUGGCGACUCCCUCUCCAUCCCUGGCUUCUCCCUUUCCGAAACCCUCUCUCGUCCCCAAGCGUCCCUGUUGCACCUUCCUCCCCUCUUCCCAGGGCAGAAUGCCAGCUCCACCUGGAUCUGGCCCUUCCUGCCAGCUGCCCAUCCUGUCCUGACCUGUCCUGGGGGUCAGCAGUGAGAGUCUUGGUCCAAGGCCCAGAGGCCUGGCCCCAGCGGGCCUGGCAGACUCUGAACUGCAGAGUUGAAGCUGGGGCUGUUCCCCAUGCUUCUGGGUCUGGCUCGGCCCGCCCCACCCCCCCUUCCCGCCUGCCCUCUCACGGCUCCAGCAGGGGGCGGGCAGCGGAAAGAAAAGGAAGGACAAGUUGAACUGGGUCCAUCUGGUGUCCAGGAGCAACUUGAAAGGGGCUGGUGGGGGGGAGGGGACAGGCGUUGGGGGCCUGGCUCAGCCAACGGGAGGUUGGGUGGCCUCCUGACUUCCCAGGCCAUUCUCAUGGGGCUGUCUCCCUGUGCAAGGGAGGCCUUGGGGGGUUUGCCCAGGCUUUGACCCUUCCCCCGCAGCGUCCUGUGCAGGGCUUGGUGGGUGUAUGGUGGGCCCGGUGAGCAACUCCCGGUGACCAGGGAUGUUGCUGCGGAGACUUCCCAUGGGGACGGGUUGGGCCACCCUUCAGGCCUCCUAGGGCUUCUGGGGGAGAUGAACCAGCCUGCACACCUGGCCAAAAGUGGGGGAGAACUUUGAGUAUGUCCUGGCUGAGCCCUGGGUCACAGCCGUCCUUGGCCACUGACCCUUGGUCUCCCCUUCCAUUGGCCUCUUGGUACUCUGGAAAUUCCUGGGUGCUGUCCCGCCUCUGAGCCUCCACUCAGGUCCUCUCCUGGCAGCUCUCUUCCUCCUCCCCCGCUGCCUUCCCCUCGGCCUGCACCCAGCCUGCCCUGCCACCUGGAGGGAGCUGAGACUUCCCUUGCCCUCAUCCUUCCUCCUUCGUGCGGCCUCGGUAGGCGUGUGUCUCACCAUGGUUUUCCGUAGCUGCUGCUGCUCAGGCCUUGCUUCUCCCCGGGUGGCCCAGUCGGGAUCCCUGGCAGUGACCUGAUCCCGGCACCCAGGACAAGCCCAAUAAACCUUUGUGAA
Molecule: long non-coding RNA, 2949 nt
Filed under: Lynx pardinus (Iberian lynx)
Lineage: Eukaryota; Metazoa; Chordata; Mammalia; Carnivora; Felidae
Rfam family: mir-1247 microRNA precursor family (bases 12-85)
Source: RNAcentral